GGGCAGGUGUGAGCAGGUGUGAGCAGGUGGCAGACAGGCCUGGGAGCCAGUGUGAGCAGGUGGCAGACAGGCCUGUGGGCAGGUGUGGGCAGGUGUGAGCAGACGGAAGAGGGAAACACUCACACUUUGAUGAGCGGCGUC
This is a long non-coding RNA of Leopardus geoffroyi (Geoffroy's cat), 141 nucleotides long. RefSeq lists it as uncharacterized. NCBI's taxonomy places the organism in Eukaryota, Metazoa, Chordata, Mammalia, Carnivora, Felidae. The transcript has 3 exons. The record is from RefSeq and is a predicted model, not a curated record.